This is a long non-coding RNA of Sarcophilus harrisii (Tasmanian devil), 285 nucleotides long. RefSeq lists it as uncharacterized. The transcript is spliced from 3 exons. NCBI's taxonomy places the organism in Eukaryota, Metazoa, Chordata, Mammalia, Dasyuromorphia, Dasyuridae. The record is from RefSeq and is a predicted model, not a curated record.
CAGCAGCUGGUAUUGGGCACCUGGGAAGGACUGGAGGCCUAGUAGGGCUCAGAGCUGAACAAGAUGAAUUGGACCAUUAAUACUGAGCACUUAGUUCCUUCUGAUGUUUCAUCCCAGGUUCACAGAAUCUCUGAAUAAGAAGGAACCUAGUCCAAGCUGGGAUUCCCUCUGUUACAUCCCUAACAAUGACUAAAGCUUGAAGACCACUGGAGAUGAUGAAUGAAUGACAUACUGCUUUCGGAACCAUCCAUUCCACUUUUGGAUAGCUCUGAUUGGUGAGAAGUA